AAUACUGCUCUUUUCAGAGCAACAAUAUUCAAACCAUAAUAAUUCCU
This is a non-coding RNA of Buceros rhinoceros silvestris, 47 nucleotides long. Lineage: Eukaryota; Metazoa; Chordata; Aves; Bucerotiformes; Bucerotidae. The record is from Rfam.